This 237-nucleotide long non-coding RNA is filed under the name Elaeis guineensis (African oil palm). RNAcentral's name for it is "long non-coding RNA (EGUI_LNC078069)". Lineage: Eukaryota; Viridiplantae; Streptophyta; Magnoliopsida; Arecales; Arecaceae. The record is from RNAcentral.
CUAGAAACAACCAAGGUACCCUCUGCAGGACUGCAUUAAGUGGGAAACCGAGGGUGGGUCUUCAGAAGCCUAAGCCAGACCAUAGUUUUGUUACCUAAUUCAAUCAUGAACGCAAAAUGAUAAGGCCAACUAAAUUGCUUCCCAACCCUACCAACCAUAGGGCCAGAAAAGAAAAAAAUGGCCUGCAAUUUUGUAGGGACCCAUUGUUUGGUAGGUCAGCUGCAGUUGUUUUGGUAG